This 31-nucleotide non-coding RNA is filed under the name Methanocaldococcus lauensis. The record is from RNAcentral. Lineage: Archaea; Methanobacteriati; Methanobacteriota; Methanococci; Methanococcales; Methanocaldococcaceae.
AUUUCCAUCCCCUUAGGGGUCUGAUUUUAGA